GUAAAGAUAAGAGAACGAAGAUGCCAUUAUUU
Molecule: non-coding RNA, 32 nt
Filed under: Trypanosoma brucei brucei
Lineage: Eukaryota; Euglenozoa; Kinetoplastea; Trypanosomatida; Trypanosomatidae
Source: RNAcentral